GGAGGGGGAAGGUUGCAACUCUUCUCAGUGGUUGUCAAUCUGUUUGGUCUGAGGAAAAAGUACAGAAAAAGUUGACAUCACUGAGAUACACAAGACCUUCAAGACAGCUUUAUUUCAGGGAACUGAAAGGACUGAAAGUCACUGACUGACUAAGUGAACUGUCCUGAGGUAAAAGCUGAGAACAACCUGACAGACCAACGAAACAAAGAAAAAUUCUUGGAUUUGCUGUGGUAAAUGUUGGAGCACCUCACAGAUGCAGUCUGCAACCUGCAGCAUCACUCUGCUGAAUGAGUAGCAGUCAAAAUUUAAAGGUCUCCAAGGUUUAUGUACCUGAACUCCAGAAGGUGACCAUGGCAGCUUUCAGUGUGCUGGAGGACUUAGGGAAAAGGAAACGGGUUUUAGAUCAGAAAGUUCUUGAAUUUGCAACACUCCCUGUAAAGGGAGUGCAACAUUCCCUGUAAAGAAUGUUCUGAACCAUCAAGCUGUAGAUAAAAACUGAACUAGUUUCCAUGUCACUAUAAAGCAAGGACUCUGACUUGGAUGUUUUUAGAUUUCUUUUAGA
Molecule: long non-coding RNA, 562 nt
Organism: Passer domesticus (house sparrow)
Lineage: Eukaryota; Metazoa; Chordata; Aves; Passeriformes; Passeridae
Exons: 3
Source: RefSeq, a predicted model, not a curated record